AAUGAUGGAGGUACAGGCAUUUCCUGAGGAUUAAUGACCAGCUGGGAGGAACCAGUGGCCCUUGGCUCUGCCUCCCAGCCAGCCAUUAAUUUUAAGGAAAUGUCUUUUGCUGAGGUCGUU
Myotis lucifugus (little brown bat) is the source of this 120-nucleotide microRNA precursor. The record is from Ensembl. NCBI's taxonomy places the organism in Eukaryota, Metazoa, Chordata, Mammalia, Chiroptera, Vespertilionidae.